AACGAACGCUGGCGGCAUGCCUAACACAUGCAAGUCGAACGAUCCCUUCGGGGAUAGUGGCGUACGGGUGCGUAACGCGUGGGAACCUGCCCUUAGGUUCGGAAUAACUCAGAGAAAUUUGAGCUAAUACCGGAUAAUGUCUUCGGACCAAAGAUUUAUCGCCUUUGGAUGGGCCCGCGUUGGAUUAGCUAGUUGGUGGGGUAAAGGCCUAACAAGGCGACGAUCCAUAGCUGGUCUGAGAGGAUGAGCAGCCACACUGGGACUGAGACACGGCCCAGACUCCUACGGGAGGCAGCAGUGGGGAAUAUUGGACAAUGGGCGAAUGCCUGAUCCAGCAAUGCCGCGUGAGUGAUGAAGGCCUUAGGGUUGUAAAGCUCUUUUACCCGGGAUGAUAAUGACAGUACCGGGAGAAUAAGCCCCGGCUAACUCCGUG
This 433-nucleotide ribosomal RNA is filed under the name uncultured bacterium. RNAcentral's name for it is "partial 16S ribosomal RNA". It matches the Rfam family "Bacterial small subunit ribosomal RNA", at positions 29 to 507 of the family's 1533-position model. The record is from RNAcentral.